This 1015-nucleotide ribosomal RNA is filed under the name Acinetobacter sp. RNAcentral describes it as "bacterial SSU rRNA". It matches the Rfam family "Bacterial small subunit ribosomal RNA", at positions 56 to 1064 of the family's 1533-position model. Lineage: Bacteria; Pseudomonadati; Pseudomonadota; Gammaproteobacteria; Moraxellales; Moraxellaceae. The record is from RNAcentral.
UGCAGUCGAGCGGAGUGAUAGUGCUUGCACUAUCACUUAGCGGCGGACGGGUGAGUAAUGCUUAGGAAUCUGCCUAUUAGUGGGGGACAACAUUUCGAAAGGAAUGCUAAUACCGCAUACGUCCUACGGGAGAAAGCAGGGGAUCUUCGGACCUUGCGCUAAUAGAUGAGCCUAAGUCGGAUUAGCUAGUUGGUGGGGUAAAGGCCUACCAAGGCGACGAUCUGUAGCGGGUCUGAGAGGAUGAUCCGCCACACUGGGACUGAGACACGGCCCAGACUCCUACGGGAGGCAGCAGUGGGGAAUAUUGGACAAUGGGCGCAAGCCUGAUCCAGCCAUGCCGCGUGUGUGAAGAAGGCCUUAUGGUUGUAAAGCACUUUAAGCGAGGAGGAGGCUACUUUAGUUAAUACCUAGAGAUAGUGGACGUUACUCGCAGAAUAAGCACCGGCUAACUCUGUGCCAGCAGCCGCGGUAAUACAGAGGGUGCAAGCGUUAAUCGGAUUUACUGGGCGUAAAGCGCGCGUAGGCGGCUAAAUUAAGUCAAAUGUGAAAUCCCCGAGCUUAACUUUGGGAAUUGCAUUCGAUACUGGUUAGCUAGAGUGUGGGAGAGGAUGGUAGAAUUCCAGGUGUAGCGGUGAAAUGCGUAGAGAUCUGGAGGAAUACCGAUGGCGAAGGCAGCCAUCUGGCCUAACACUGACGCUGAGGUGCGAAAGCAUGGGGAGCAAACAGGAUUAGAUACCCUGGUAGUCCAUGCCGUAAACGAUGUCUACUAGCCGUUGGGGCCUUUGAGGCUUUAGUGGCGCAGCUAACGCGAUAAGUAGACCGCCUGGGGAGUACGGUCGCAAGACUAAAACUCAAAUGAAUUGACGGGGGCCCGCACAAGCGGUGGAGCAUGUGGUUUAAUUCGAUGCAACGCGAAGAACCUUACCUGGCCUUGACAUAGUAAGAACUUUCCAGAGAUGGAUUGGUGCCUUCGGGAACUUACAUACAGGUGCUGCAUGGCUGUCGUCAGCUCGUG